This 91-nucleotide transfer RNA is filed under the name Christensenella massiliensis. Its description in RNAcentral is "tRNA-Ser". It matches the Rfam family "tRNA". From Rfam's summary of the family: Transfer RNA (tRNA) molecules are approximately 80 nucleotides in length. RNAcentral also lists the same sequence under 2 other names. Lineage: Bacteria; Bacillati; Bacillota; Clostridia; Christensenellales; Christensenellaceae. The record is from RNAcentral.
GGAGAGAUGGUCGAGUUGGUUUAAGGCACCGGUCUUGAAAACCGGCGAUGGUUUACCCCAUCCGUGGGUUCGAAUCCCACUCUCUCCGCCA